RNAcentral lists this ribosomal RNA (468 nucleotides) under uncultured bacterium. RNAcentral's name for it is "partial 16S ribosomal RNA". It matches the Rfam family "Bacterial small subunit ribosomal RNA", at positions 28 to 507 of the family's 1533-position model. The record is from RNAcentral.
GACGAACGCUGGCGGCGUGCUUAACACAUGCAAGUCGAACGGAAAGGCCCUGCUUUUGUGGGGUGCUCGAGUGGCGAACGGGUGAGUAACACGUGAGUAACCUGCCCUUGACUUUGGGAUAACUUCAGGAAACUGGGGCUAAUACCGGAUAGGAGCCCCUGCUGCAUGGUGGGGGUUGGAAAGUUUCGGCGGUUGGGGAUGGACUCGCGGCUUAUCAGCUUGUUGGUGGGGUAGUGGCUUACCAAGGCUUUGACGGGUAGCCGGCCUGAGAGGGUGACCGGCCACCUUGGGCCUGCGAUACGGCCCAGACUCCUACGGGAGGCAGCAGUGGGGAAUAUUGCACAAUGGGCGGAAGCCUGAUGCAGCAACGCCGCGUGCGGGAUGACGGCCUUCGGGUUGUAAACCGCUUUCGCCUGUGACGAAGCGUGAGUGACGGUAAUGGGUAAAGAAGCACCGGCUAACUACGUG